AUUCUGUGAUGAGGGCAUUUCUUUUGUAGUUCUUUGAAUCAUUCCCAUACCUCAUACAAGGAUUCAUCAUCCAUUUGUUGGAAGGAAGUGAUCUCGUUCCUCAAUUU
RNAcentral lists this small nucleolar RNA (107 nucleotides) under Gossypium arboreum. Its description in RNAcentral is "Plant small nucleolar RNA R71". It matches the Rfam family "Plant small nucleolar RNA R71". From Rfam's summary of the family: R71 is a member of the C/D box family of snoRNAs containing the C (UGAUGA) and D (CUGA) box motifs. The record is from Rfam by way of RNAcentral. Lineage: Eukaryota; Viridiplantae; Streptophyta; Magnoliopsida; Malvales; Malvaceae.